GCCGAGGGGACGAAAGGCAAGUCGCAUCGCUCUGAACGAUGAGGUUGCAGGUUCAAAGCCUACCCAGGCA
This 70-nucleotide transfer RNA is filed under the name Microcoleus sp. PH2017_10_PVI_O_A. RNAcentral's name for it is "tRNA-Gln". The stretch from base 7 to 66 matches the Rfam family "tRNA". From Rfam's summary of the family: Transfer RNA (tRNA) molecules are approximately 80 nucleotides in length. Their secondary structure includes four short double-helical elements and three loops (D, anti-codon, and T loops). Lineage: Bacteria; Bacillati; Cyanobacteriota; Cyanophyceae; Oscillatoriales; Microcoleaceae. The record is from RNAcentral. RNAcentral also lists the same sequence under 5 other names.